Molecule: small RNA, 1939 nt
Filed under: Pongo abelii (Sumatran orangutan)
Lineage: Eukaryota; Metazoa; Chordata; Mammalia; Primates; Hominidae
Description: retained intron
Source: RNAcentral
CCGGGCCCAAGCGGAUCGCGGGCUCGGGCUGCGGGGCUCCGGCUGCGGGCGCUGGGCCGCGAGGCGCGGAGCUUGGGAGCGCAGCCCAGGCCGUGCCGCGCGGCGCCAUGAAGGGCAAGGAGGAGAAGGAGGGCGGCGCACGGCUGGGCGCUGGCGGCGGAAGCCCCGAGAAGAGCCCGAGCGCGCAGGAGCUCAAGGAGCAGGGCAACCGUCUGUUCGUGGGCCGAAAGUACCCGGAGGCGGCGGCUUGCUACGGCCGCGCGAUCGUGAGUGCGCCCGCGCGGGGAGGGCGGCGGCGGCGGCGGUGCUGGGGAGGGCCGGGCCCGCGCCCGGCCGGCCCCACCGAGGGUUUGGCUCCUUUGCGGGGCGUGUCCUGGGCUCCCAAAGCCCAGCCGUGGUUCUCGAGCCCAGCGCCGGGUGCCGGAGAACGAGGGUGGGAUGCUGGAUGGAGGCCGGCCGGGUGGCGGGGGAGGGCAGGGGCCCUGGCCCCUUGAGGACCCCAGGUCCAAAGCCCGGACUCUCCAAAGAUUUGGAAAACUUUACAAAACCAAGUGGAGUCUAGCGGAUAGGCUCAGCCAGUACUCUACUGUGCGCAGGUUCUUGGACCCAGGGGCUUUGACAACUGAGAAACCUAGUUUCUUGAUUCUAGCCAGAGCGCAGAAGCUGGGACGGGCCGUGGGUCAGAGGGGGCACGCUGAGCCUACGCCCUCAUGCGGCUGGCCCGGCCUUGGUCCCUAGACCCGGAACCCGCUGGUGGCCGUGUAUUACACCAACCGGGCCUUGUGCUACCUGAAGAUGCAGCAGCACGAGCAGGCCCUGGCCGACUGCCGGCGCGCCCUGGAGCUGGACGGGCAGUCUGUGAAGGCGCACUUCUUCCUGGGGCAGUGCCAGCUGGAGAUGGAGAGCUAUGAUGAGGCCAUCGCCAAUCUGCAGCGAGCUUACAGCCUGGCCAAGGAGCAGCGGCUGAACUUCGGGGACGACAUCCCCAGCGCUCUUCGAAUCGCGAAGAAGAAGCGCUGGAACAGUAUUGAGGAGCGGCGCAUCCACCAGGAGAGCGAGUUGCACUCCUACCUCUCCAGGCUCAUUGCCGCGGAGCGUGAGAGGGAGCUGGAAGAAUGCCAGCGAAACCACGAGGGUGAUGAGGACGACAGCCACGUCCGGGCCCAGCAGGCCUGCAUUGAGGCCAAGCACGUGAGGAUGCCCCCCACCCACAUGUGGGUCUGUGUGUGUGCACGUGGCGUGGAAGCAUCCCCGCCUUGUGUUGGGUCUGUGCCCCAUGGAGGAGGGAGGUUGGGUGUCUCCCCCAAGCGCAGCACUCAACUCUUCACAGGACAAGUACAUGGCGGACAUGGACGAGCUCUUUUCUCAGGUGGACGAGAAGAGGAAGAAGCGAGACAUCCCCGACUACCUGUGUGGUAAGAUCAGCUUUGAGCUGAUGCGGGAACCGUGCAUCACGCCCAGUGGCAUCACCUACGACCGCAAAGACAUCGAGGAACACUUGCAGGUGAGGCUGCGGCUGCGGGAGCAGGGCCAGUGGCAUGGUCCUGGGCCCCAUGACUCCCUCUGCCCUUCUUGUUACUACAGCGUGUGGGUCAUUUUGACCCUGUGACCCGGAGCCCCCUGACCCAGGAACAGCUCAUCCCCAACCUGGCUAUGAAGGAGGUUAUUGAUGCAUUCAUCUCUGAGAAUGGCUGGGUGGAGGACUACUGAGGUUCCCUGCCCUGCCUGGCAUCCUGGUCCAGGGGAGCCCUGGGCAGAAGCCCCCGGCCCCUGUACAUAGUUUGUGUUCCUGGCCACCCCAACCCCUUCCCCCCAAGUUCUGCUGUUGGACUUUGGACUGUUCCCCCUCUCAGCAUCGCUCUUGCUGGGCUGUGAUCGUCCCCCUUUGUGGGCUGGAAAAGCAGGUGAGGGUGGGCUGGGCUGAGGCCACUGCUGCCAC